This 451-nucleotide ribosomal RNA is filed under the name uncultured bacterium. RNAcentral's name for it is "partial 16S ribosomal RNA". It matches the Rfam family "Bacterial small subunit ribosomal RNA", at positions 354 to 796 of the family's 1533-position model. The record is from RNAcentral.
GUGGGGAAUAUUGGACAAUGGGGGGAACCCUGAUCCAGCCAUGCCGCGUGUGUGAAGAAGGCCUUUUGGUUGUAAAGCACUUUAAGCGAGGAGGAGGCUUACCUGGUUAAUACCUGGGAUAAGUGGACGUUACUCGCAGAAUAAGCACCGGCUAACUCUGUGCCAGCAGCCGCGGUAAUACAGAGGGUGCAAGCGUUAAUCGGAUUUACUGGGCGUAAAGCGCGCGUAGGUGGCUAAUUAAGUCAAAUGUGAAAUCCCCGAGCUUAACUUGGGAAUUGCAUUCGAUACUGGUUAGCUAGAGUAUGGGAGAGGAUGGUAGAAUUCCAGGUGUAGCGGUGAAAUGCGUAGAGAUCUGGAGGAAUACCGAUGGCGAAGGCAGCCAUCUGGCCUAAUACUGACACUGAGGUGCGAAAGCAUGGGGAGCAAACAGGAUUAGAAACCCCGGUAGUCC